Molecule: ribosomal RNA, 406 nt
Filed under: uncultured bacterium
Lineage: Bacteria
Description: partial 16S ribosomal RNA
Rfam family: Bacterial small subunit ribosomal RNA
Source: RNAcentral
AUUGAACGCUGGCGGCAGGCCUAACACAUGCAAGUCGAACGAGUGGCGGACGGGUGAGUAAUGUCUGGGAAACUGCCUGAUGGAGGGUGAUAACUACUGGAAACGGUAGCUAAUACCGCAUACCAUCAGAUGUGCCCAGAGGGGAUUAGCUAGUAGGUGGGGUAACGGCUCACCUAGGCGACGAUCCCUAGCUGGUCUGAGAGGAUGACCAGCCACACUGGAACUGCGACACGGUCCUGACGCCUACGUGAGGCAGGAGUGGGGAAUAUUGCACAAUGGGCGCAAGCCUGAUGCAGCCAUGCCGAGUGUAUGAAGAAGGCCUUCGGGAUGUAAAGUACUUUCAGCGGGGAGGCGUUACCCGCAGAAGAAGCACCGGCAAACUCCGUGCCAGCAGCCGCGGUAAUAC